UCUUAGAAGUCACCUAUGAGGGAAGCUAGUUUUACUAAUUUACAAAUGGAAAAACUGAAAUUCAGAAAACUACUUAGGAUGAAACAUAGGAAUGUUUUUCACUCCUAAAUUUGGGGAGUAGGUGUAUUAUCUACUCUCUUCAUACAGUAGUAGAGAAACAAUCAGUAUAUUCUGGAAAAAAGAGGAAAUGAACAGAAAACAAUGCAAUAUAUGGCCUCUCUCAGACAUUCCAACAGUGACUGAACUAAGGUUCAGCAAAUACCUUAGAAGCACACGUGACAGUAAAUGAGUAAAUUAUAACACUAUGUUGCUUUACCAGAUAGCCUAAUGUAAUAUAUCCUAAAAUAGCUACUAUAAAUGUAUAUAAUUUUCAUUUAGCUCUUUUUAUCAAUUAGAAACUACUACAAAAGUUUUUGGGUUAUAGAUACUGAGUUAAAGUAUUCAGGUUAGUUUCAAAAUGCUGUGUGGCAUGUUUCAAAUGAG
This 483-nucleotide long non-coding RNA is filed under the name Bos taurus (domestic cattle). RNAcentral describes it as "long non-coding RNA NONBTAT026541". Lineage: Eukaryota; Metazoa; Chordata; Mammalia; Artiodactyla; Bovidae. The record is from RNAcentral.